This 1108-nucleotide long non-coding RNA is filed under the name Citrus maxima (pomelo). RNAcentral describes it as "long non-coding RNA (CMAX_LNC003729)". Lineage: Eukaryota; Viridiplantae; Streptophyta; Magnoliopsida; Sapindales; Rutaceae. The record is from RNAcentral.
UAUAAAUAUUAAUUCUUGCAAACAAAAACAAUAAUAUGUGUACAAAAAGAAGUACAAAAUAUAGCAUGUCACCACUAGGGGAAAAAAAGUUUACUACAAGACAAGAAUCUUUUUGUCUUUUGUGCAUUUGGUACUAGGGGUGGGCAAAAUACUCGAUCCGACCUAACCCGAUUCGAAAAAUUUCGGGUUCAGAUCAGAUCGGAUUGUGAAUAGAACCCGAUCAGGUGCAAUUGUGUCAACCCGAUCGAGUCGUGUUCGGAUGGGUUGAAACCCGAUCCGAUCCAAAAACCCGAUCGGGUUGACACAAAAUUAAAAAAAAAAUACAAAAUAAAAAAUUAUAACCUAAAGGCCCAAACCUUAUCCUAACCAUUGUAUAUGGCACAACUGCACAAGCACUCAAGCAGCAGUGAGCAGCCCACUGCUGAAUGAUGCGUCAUCCACCCACAGGCAACGGCCUCCCUCGCUUGCAACUUGGAACCCACCACCGACAACCACACAGCUCGUCACCUGCAACUUGGAACCCACCACCGGCAGCCACAUAGCCCGUUGCCUACAAUAUCCUCCCUCAAACAAACAAAUCACACACACACACACAAAGUUAAUGCCUUAAUGGAGAAAGUUGCAGCAGACCACCACGCAACAACCAUCGAGCCUUUGCGAGGAUCGUGAUCUGAUUCUGAUCGACCGAUCUACUGCUACAAAGUACCAGAUCUACUGAGCCACUUCCAAGCCUUCAUUCCUCCACCAUCACCCGAUCUGAUUCAAGCUCCAUUAACCCAGCAAGCAGCAACCCGAUUUUUGACUGUUGAGUUGAGAUUUGGAAGCUUUGAGUUUUGAGCUUUGAAACUUGACGGUGAUGACGUUUGUGAAAGUGAAGUGUUAAAUGUUAAUAAGCAUUUUCCUAAUCUGACCUGUCUCGAACCCGAACCCGAAUUGAUCCGAACUCAAUUCGAUUUUUUAACCUGAUCUGAUUCACUAUAUUCGAAUCGGAUCGGGUUAUAAAUUCGGGUUGAAUUCGGAUGAAUUUUUAUUCAACCCGACCAACCCAAAACCCAAUCGGGUUGAUCCGAACCCGACCCUAACCCAAUUUUGCCCAGCCCUAUUUGUU